Molecule: ribosomal RNA, 253 nt
Filed under: uncultured bacterium
Lineage: Bacteria
Description: partial 16S ribosomal RNA
Rfam family: Bacterial small subunit ribosomal RNA
Source: RNAcentral
UACGAAGGGGGCUAGCGUUGCUCGAAAUCACUGGGCGUAACGCGCACGUAGGCGGGGCUUUAAGUCAGGGGUGAAAUCCUGGAGCUCAACUCCAGAACUGCCUUUGAUACUGAGGAUCUCGAGUCCGGGAGAGGUGAGUGGAACUCCGAGUGUAGAGGUGAAAUUCGUAGAUAUUCGGAAGAACACCGGUGGCGAAGGCGGCUCACUGGCCCGGUACUGACGCUGAGGUGCGAAAGCGUGGGGAGCAAACAGG